Molecule: ribosomal RNA, 790 nt
Filed under: Meloe cicatricosus
Lineage: Eukaryota; Metazoa; Arthropoda; Insecta; Coleoptera; Meloidae
Description: partial large subunit ribosomal RNA
Rfam family: Archaeal large subunit ribosomal RNA (bases 1-591)
Source: RNAcentral
GUCUUUUCGUUAAUUAUUUAAGGUCUAGCCUGCUCCAUGACUAAGUUAAAUAGCCGCAGUAUUUUGACUGUGCAAAGGUAGCAUAAUCAUUAGUUUUUUAAUUGAAAGCUGGAAUGAAGGGUUGGAUGAGAAAGAAUCUGUCUCAUUUUAAUUUUAAUUGAAUUUUACUUUUAAGUCAAAAGGCUUAAAUUUUAUAGAAAGACGAGAAGACCCUAUAGAGUUUAACAAGUUAACAGUUUAAUUGUUCUAGGAUUUUAAUUUGAUUAAUUUGUUACUUGUUUUGUUGGGGUGACAUAAGAAUUUAAUUAACUUCUUUUUAUUAUAACAUUGAUUUGUGGAUGAGGGAUCCUAUUUUUUAGAUUUGAAGAAUAAAUUACCUUAGGGAUAACAGCGUAAUUUCUUUGGAGAGCCCUUAUUGAUAAAGGAGAUUGCGACCUCGAUGUUGGAUUAAAGUUAAGUUUCGGCGCAGAAGCUGGAAUUUUGAGUCUGUUCGACUUUUAAAACUUUACAUGAUCUGAGUUUAAACCGGCGUGAGCCAGGUUGGUUUCUAUCUUUUAUAAGUAAAAUAUUUUAGUACGAAAGGACCAAAUAUUUAAAUAAUAUUUUUUAUUUGAAUAGAAUUGUUACUUUGGCAGACUAGUGCAAUAGAUUUAGAAUCUUUAUAUGUAAUUAUAUUACAGGUAACAAUUUACUUUAUUGAUUUGGUUUUAUUGUUUACUUUGGUGUUAAUUUUAGUUGUUUGUGUUUUGGUAGGUGUAGCUUUUUUAACUCUCUUGGAGCGUAAGGUUUU